This 468-nucleotide ribosomal RNA is filed under the name uncultured bacterium. Its description in RNAcentral is "partial 16S ribosomal RNA". It matches the Rfam family "Bacterial small subunit ribosomal RNA", at positions 28 to 507 of the family's 1533-position model. The record is from RNAcentral.
GACGAACGCUGGCGGCGUGCUUAACACAUGCAGGUCGAACGGAAAGGCCCUGCUUUUGUGGGGUGCUCGAGUGGCGAACGGGUGAGUAACACGUGAGUAACCUGCCCUUGACUUUGGGAUAACUUCAGGAAACUGGGGCUAAUACCGGAUAGGAGCUCCUGCUGCAUGGUGGGGGUUGGAAAGUUUCGGCGGUUGGGGAUGGACUCGCGGCUUAUCAGCUUGUUGGUGGGGUAGUGGCUUUCCAAGGCUUUGACGGGUAGCCGGCCUGAGAGGGUGACCGGCCACAUUGGGACUGAGAUACGGCCCAGACUCCUACGGGAGGCAGCAGUGGGGAAUAUUGCACAAUGGGCGGAAGCCUGAUGCAGCAACGCCGCGUGCGGGAUGACGGCCUUCGGGUUGUAAACCGCUUUCGCCUGUGACGAAGCGUGAGUGACGGUAAUGGGUAAAGAAGCACCGGCUAACUACGUG